GAUGAACGCUGGCGGCGUGCCUAAUACAUGCAAGUCGGGCGAAAAGAUAAGGAGCCUGCUCCUUUGACGUUAGCGACGGACAGGUGAGUACCACGUGGGGGAGCACACUAUAUGAAUGGAAUAGCUAAGAGAAACCAGGGCUAGUGGCAGAUAGAAUUAACAACCGGAUGGUUCUAAAGUGUCUGAUGGGUUUGCUAUCAAGUAUAGAUCGACCCGCGCCGUAUUAGCUAGUCGGUAAGGUGACGGCUUACCAAGGCACUGAUACGUAGCCGACCUGAGAGGGUGAUCGGACACACUGCAACUGAGACACGGUCCAGACUCCUACGGGAGGCAGCAGUAGGGAAUCUUCCGCAAUGGGCGAAAGCAUGACGGAGCAACGCCGCGUGAGUGAAGAAGGUCUUCGGAUCUUAAAACUCUGUUAUUAGGGAAGAACAAAUGUGUAAGUAACUGUGCACGUCUUGACGGUACCUAAUCAGAAAGCCACGGCUAACUACGUG
This 497-nucleotide ribosomal RNA is filed under the name uncultured bacterium. RNAcentral describes it as "partial 16S ribosomal RNA". It matches the Rfam family "Bacterial small subunit ribosomal RNA", at positions 28 to 507 of the family's 1533-position model. The record is from RNAcentral.